This 439-nucleotide ribosomal RNA is filed under the name Neobatrachus pelobatoides. RNAcentral's name for it is "partial 16S ribosomal RNA". It matches the Rfam family "Bacterial large subunit ribosomal RNA", at positions 1971 to 2578 of the family's 2925-position model. The record is from RNAcentral. Lineage: Eukaryota; Metazoa; Chordata; Amphibia; Anura; Limnodynastidae.
GUCUUAAUAGGACUAGUAUGAAUGGCAUCACGAGGGUUAUACUGUCUCCCCUUUUUAAUCAGUGAAACUAAUCUCCCCGUGAAGAAGCGGGGAUAUUCCUAUAAGACGAGAAGACCCCAUGGAGCUUUAAACAAACAGCAUAUGCUCACCUCACCUACUCUCCGUAAAGUCAAGCAUUGUGACUGCUAGUUUUCGGUUGGGGCGACCACGGAGAAUAACACAUCCUCCGCGUUGAAAGAAUUCUAUUCUUAACUAAAAGCUACACCUUUAAGUAUCAACACCUUGACAUCCAUUGACCCAAUAAAAUUGAUCAACGAACCUAGUUACCCUGGGGAUAACAGCGCAAUCCAUUUCAAGAGCCCCUAUCGACAAAUGGGUUUACGACCUCGAUGUUGGAUCAGGGUAUCCCAGUGGUGCAGCCGCUACUAAAGGUUCGUUU